Molecule: ribosomal RNA, 254 nt
Filed under: uncultured bacterium
Lineage: Bacteria
Description: partial 16S ribosomal RNA
Rfam family: Bacterial small subunit ribosomal RNA
Source: RNAcentral
UACGGAGGGGGCGAGCGUUUGUCCGAAGUUACUGGGCGUAAAGCGCGCGUAGGCGGGCUGGCAAGUCCGCUGUGAAAGCCUGCGGCUUAACCGCAGAGGGUCGGUGGAUACUGCCAGUCUUGAAGGUGCUAGGGAGAGAUGGAAUUACCGGUGUAGCGGUGAAAUGCGUAGAGAUCGGUAGGAACACCAGUGGCGAAGGCGGUCUCUUGGAGCACUCUUGACGCUGAGGCGCGAAAGCUGGGGGAGCGAACGGG